CGGGUGAGUAACGCGUGAGAAUCUGCCUUCGGGUUGGGGACAACCACUGGAAACGGUGGCUAAUACCCAAUGCGCCGCAACGUGAAAGAUUUAUCGCCCGAAGAUGAGCUCGCGUCUGAUUAGCUAGUUGGUGGGGUAAAGGCUCACCAAGGCAUCGAUCAGUAGCUGGUCUGAGAGGAUGACCAGCCACACUGGGACUGAGACACGGCCCAGACUCCUACGGGAGGCAGCAGUGGGGAAUUUUCCGCAAUGGGCGAAAGCCUGACGGAGCAAGACCGCGUGAGGGAGGAAGGCCCUUGGGCUGUAAACCUCUUUUGUCAGGGAAGAACACAAUGACGGUACCUGACGAAUCAGCCUCGGCUAACUCCGUGCCAGCAGCCGCGGUAAUACGGAGGAGGCAAGCGUUAUCCGGAAUUAUUGGGCGUAAAGCGUCCGCAGGUGGCUUAUCAAGUCUGCCGUCAAAGACCGGGGCUUAACCCUGGAAAGGCGGUGGAAACUGACAAGCUAGAGUGCCGUAGGGGUAGAGGGAAUUCCCGGUGUAGCGGUGAAAUGCGUAGAGCUCGGGAAGAACAUCGGUGGCGAAAGCGCUCUACUGGACGGCAACUGACACUCAGGGACGAAAGCUAGGGGAGCGAAUGGGAUUAGAUACCCCAGUAGUCCUAGCCGUAAACGAUGGAUACUAG
This 683-nucleotide ribosomal RNA is filed under the name uncultured cyanobacterium. RNAcentral describes it as "bacterial SSU rRNA". It matches the Rfam family "Bacterial small subunit ribosomal RNA", at positions 103 to 819 of the family's 1533-position model. Lineage: Bacteria; Bacillati; Cyanobacteriota. The record is from RNAcentral.